UACGUAGGGUGCAAGCGUUGUCCGGAUUUAUUGGGCGUAAAGAGCUCGUAGGCGGCUCAUUGCGUCAACCGUGAAAACCAGCAGCUCAACUGUUGGCUUGCGGUUGAUACGGGUGGGCUGGAGUUCGGUAGGGGAGACUGGAAUUCCUGGUGUAGCGGUGAAAUGCGCAGAUAUCUGGAGGAACACCGGUGGCGAAGGCGGCAUCCUGGACCAAUAUUGACGCUGAGGAGCGAAAGCCAGGGGAGCAAACGGG
RNAcentral lists this ribosomal RNA (253 nucleotides) under uncultured bacterium. RNAcentral's name for it is "partial 16S ribosomal RNA". It matches the Rfam family "Bacterial small subunit ribosomal RNA", at positions 524 to 776 of the family's 1533-position model. The record is from RNAcentral.